Molecule: long non-coding RNA, 313 nt
Organism: Mastomys coucha (southern multimammate mouse)
Lineage: Eukaryota; Metazoa; Chordata; Mammalia; Rodentia; Muridae
Exons: 2
Source: RefSeq, a predicted model, not a curated record
CUUCAAAUCAAGACGCAGAACUUUCAGCUCCUUCUCCAGCAUCAUGUCUGCCUCCAUGUUGUUGGCUUCCUGCUAUGAUGAUAGUGGGCUAAACUUCAGAACUGUCACAAAAGAAGAAUGUGCGUUGAGGACUCUUGUGGAGAGCUACAAACCCUUUCAAAAGUGGGAAGUGUUUGCAAAGGUAAGACACUGUAAAGCCAAGUGAGAGAGUCUCCUCCCAGGAUGCUGUGCUGAUGCAACAACAACAACAAAUAGUGACAUGCAAGCACGACUCAGUACUUGUAGAAUUUGCAUAAAAUCAAAGUUGUUCAGA